RNAcentral lists this ribosomal RNA (946 nucleotides) under Klebsiella pneumoniae. RNAcentral's name for it is "bacterial SSU rRNA". It matches the Rfam family "Bacterial small subunit ribosomal RNA", at positions 54 to 991 of the family's 1533-position model. Lineage: Bacteria; Pseudomonadati; Pseudomonadota; Gammaproteobacteria; Enterobacterales; Enterobacteriaceae. The record is from RNAcentral.
AAUGCAAGUCGAGCGGUAGCACAGAGAGCUUGCUCUCGGGUGACGAGCGGCGGACGGGUGAGUAAUGUCUGGGAAACUGCCUGAUGGAGGGGGAUAACUACUGGAAACGGUAGCUAAUACCGCAUAACGUCGCAAGACCAAAGUGGGGGACCUUCGGGCCUCAUGCCAUCAGAUGUGCCCAGAUGGGAUUAGCUAGUAGGUGGGGUAACGGCUCACCUAGGCGACGAUCCCUAGCUGGUCUGAGAGGAUGACCAGCCACACUGGAACUGAGACACGGUCCAGACUCCUACGGGAGGCAGCAGUGGGGAAUAUUGCACAAUGGGCGCAAGCCUGAUGCAGCCAUGCCGCGUGUGUGAAGAAGGCCUUCGGGUUGUAAAGCACUUUCAGCGGGGAGGAAGGCGGUGAGGUUAAUAACCUCGUCGAUUGACGUUACCCGCAGAAGAAGCACCGGCUAACUCCGUGCCAGCAGCCGCGGUAAUACGGAGGGUGCAAGCGUUAAUCGGAAUUACUGGGCGUAAAGCGCACGCAGGCGGUCUGUCAAGUCGGAUGUGAAAUCCCCGGGCUCAACCUGGGAACUGCAUUCGAAACUGGCAGGCUAGAGUCUUGUAGAGGGGGGUAGAAUUCCAGGUGUAGCGGUGAAAUGCGUAGAGAUCUGGAGGAAUACCGGUGGCGAAGGCGGCCCCCUGGACAAAGACUGACGCUCAGGUGCGAAAGCGUGGGGAGCAAACAGGAUUAGAUACCCUGGUAGUCCACGCCGUAAACGAUGUCGAUUUGGAGGUUGUGCCCUUGAGGCGUGGCUUCCGGAGCUAACGCGUUAAAUCGACCGCCUGGGGAGUACGGCCGCAAGGUUAAAACUCAAAUGAAUUGACGGGGGCCCGCACAAGCGGUGGAGCAUGUGGUUUAAUUCGAUGCAACGCGAAGAACCUUACCUGGUCUUGACUUCCAC